UAACACGUGGGUAACCUGCCCAAGAGACUGGGAUAACACCUGGAAACAGAUGCUAAUACCGGAUAACAACACUAGACGCAUGUCUAGAGUUUGAAAGAUGGUUCUGCUAUCACUCUUGGAUGGACCUGCGGUGCAUUAGCUAGUUGGUAAGGUAACGGCUUACCAAGGCAAUGAUGCAUAGCCGAGUUGAGAGACUGAUCGGCCACAUUGGGACUGAGACACGGCCCAAACUCCUACGGGAGGCAGCAGUAGGGAAUCUUCCACAAUGGACGAAAGUCUGAUGGAGCAACGCCGCGUGAGUGAAGAAGGGUUUCGGCUCGUAAAGCUCUGUUGGUAGUGAAGAAAGAUAGAGGUAGUAACUGGCCUUUAUUUGACGGUAAUUACUUAGAAAGUCACGGCUAACUACGUGCCAGCAGCCGCGGUAAUACGUAGGUGGCAAGCGUUGUCCGGAUUUAUUGGGCGUAAAGCGAGUGCAGGCGGUUCAAUAAGUCUGAUGUGAAAGCCUUCGGCUCAACCGGAGAAUUGCAUCAGAACCUGUUGAACUUGAGUGCAGAAGAGGAGAGUGGAACUCCAUGUGUAGCGGUGGAAUGCGUAGAUAUAUGGAAGAACACCAGUGGCGAAGGCGGCUCUCUGGUCUGCAACUGACGCUGAGGCUCGAAAGCAUGGGUAGCGAACAGGAUUAGAUACCCUGGUAGUCCAUGCCG
RNAcentral lists this ribosomal RNA (704 nucleotides) under uncultured bacterium. Its description in RNAcentral is "bacterial SSU rRNA". It matches the Rfam family "Bacterial small subunit ribosomal RNA", at positions 111 to 802 of the family's 1533-position model. The record is from RNAcentral.